Molecule: ribosomal RNA, 468 nt
Filed under: uncultured bacterium
Lineage: Bacteria
Description: partial 16S ribosomal RNA
Rfam family: Bacterial small subunit ribosomal RNA
Source: RNAcentral
GACGAACGCUGGCGGCGUGCUUAACACAUGCAAGUCGAACGGAAAGGCCCUGCUUUUGUGGGGUGCUCGAGUGGCGAACGGGUGAGUAACACGUGAGUAACCUGCCCUUGACUUUGGGAUAACUUCAGGAAACUGGGGCUAAUACCGGAUAGGAGCUCCUGCUGCAUGGUGGGGGUUGGAAAGUUUCGGUGGUUGGGGAUGUACUCGCGGCUUAUCAGCUUGUUGGUGGGGUAGUGGCUUACCAAGGCUUUGACGGGUAGCCGGCCUGAGAGGGUGACCGGACACAUUGGGACUGAGAUACGGCCCAGCCUCCUACGGGAGGCAGCAGUGGGGAAUAUUGCACAAUGGGCGGAAGCCUGAUGCAGCAACGCCGCGUGCGGGAUGACGGCCUUCGGGUUGUAAACCGCUUUCGCCUGUGACGAAGCGUGAGUGACGGUAAUGGGUAAAGAAGCACCGGCUAACUACGUG